RNAcentral lists this ribosomal RNA (446 nucleotides) under uncultured bacterium. RNAcentral describes it as "partial 16S ribosomal RNA". It matches the Rfam family "Bacterial small subunit ribosomal RNA", at positions 338 to 795 of the family's 1533-position model. The record is from RNAcentral.
CCUACGGGUGGCAGCAGUCGAGAAUCAUUCACAAUGGGGGAAACCCUGAUGGUGCGACGCCGCGUGGGGGAAUGAAGGUCUUCGGAUUGUAAACCCCUGUCAUGUGGGAGCAAAUUAAAAAGAUAGUACCACAAGAGGAAGAGACGGCUAACUCUGUGCCAGCAGCCGCGGUAAUACAGAGGUCUCAAGCGUUGUUCGGAAUCACUGGGCGUAAGGCGUGCGUAGGCUGUUUCGUAAGUCGUGUGUGAAAGGCGCGGGCUCAACCCGCGGACGGCACAUGAUACUGCGAGACUAGAGUAAUGGAGGGGGAACCGGAAUUCUUGGUGUAGCAGUGAAAUGCGUAGAUAUCGAGAGGAACACUCGUGGCGAAGGCGGGUUCCUGGACAGUAACUGACGCUGAGGCACGAAGGCCAGGGGAGCGAAAGGGAUUAGAUACCCCUGUAGUC